UAUACUGGGGAGAAGGGACAAAGGCAAGAA
This 30-nucleotide non-coding RNA is filed under the name Cricetulus griseus (Chinese hamster). The record is from RNAcentral. Lineage: Eukaryota; Metazoa; Chordata; Mammalia; Rodentia; Cricetidae.